AUUAACGCUAGCGGCAGGCAUAAUACAUGCAAGUUGAACGGUAGCACAGGUAGCAAUACUGGGUGGCGAGUGGCGCACGGGUGCGUAACACGUAUGCAACCUACCCUAUACAGGCGAAUAACCUUUAGAAAUGAGGGCUAAUACGCCGUAGUAUUACAGAUGGGCAUCUAUUUGUAAUUAAAGAUUUAUCGGUAUAGGAUGGGCAUGCGUCCCAUUAGUUAGUUGGUAAGGUAACGG
RNAcentral lists this ribosomal RNA (237 nucleotides) under uncultured bacterium. RNAcentral describes it as "partial 16S ribosomal RNA". It matches the Rfam family "Bacterial small subunit ribosomal RNA", at positions 29 to 263 of the family's 1533-position model. The record is from RNAcentral.